UCUUAUACAGCUCUUUCUAACAAC
This 24-nucleotide small nuclear RNA is filed under the name Arabidopsis thaliana (thale cress). RNAcentral describes it as "snRNA_04165". Lineage: Eukaryota; Viridiplantae; Streptophyta; Magnoliopsida; Brassicales; Brassicaceae. The record is from RNAcentral.